CAGGGAAUGUGAAAGAAGGGAACAGUUUUUUUUUUUUUAAUUAAUUUGCUCUUCUAGCACCUUUGGGGUUUAUACCUUGAAGUAUAUUAAAUAUCAGCUUUGCAGAAGUGCUUGAAUAUUUGGAACCAGUAAACAUACAGACAAUUUUCAACCUGAAAACAAAGCUGAUUGAACAAAUAAUCUUGACAGCAGACCAGGAAAGAUGGAAAUCUAAGCUGGGAGUAAUGUGAAUCCAGAGACAGUUUGAUUCUUGCUACAGAACAUCAGAAAGGCUCAGGAAUUGGAAUCAUCAGGUACCUCAGAAAGUAGGUAGGUGGGUGUAAAUGUAGGAUUAGUUGGAAACCUGUAUGAGAAGUAGUGAGAUACCCAAAUCUUCUUCCCAUGCAGAAGACUAAAAGUUUAUUCCCUGGAGCCAGUGUGCUGAGCUGAACUAUGGUAUCUCUGACCCCUUCCCCCAUUCACAGAACCCUGACAGACUGGCCCAUGCCUUCCAAGACAGAAGAUUAGAGGACUGUUGUCUGGAAAAAUGGAUUAACCCAAGAGAGAGAAUCUAUGCAAAAUUUAAACUCCUUCUUCAAGCAGCAUUUCCAGAUCACCUCCGUGAAGCUCUAAGCACUUCCACAGAGUACAUUCUAGUGAAACAGUUAUAACCUAAACAUCCAGCAACAGGAGAUUGCUUAAGUCAUAACAUAUUACAUAAAAUAUUUGUAUAAAAUAGUUUCUAUUUAACUACUUUAAAUAAUGUACAAGAAUAUAUAGUACUAUGGAAAGAUGUUCACAAGUCAUUUUAAAUUUUAAAAAAGUAAUACAAUAUGAUCCUACUUUUGUAUUUUAAAAAAUUGUUUUUUUUGAAUGCAUAGAAAAAAAGUUUAGAAGGAGCUGUGCCAGAUUGUUAACAAUGGUUAUUUGUGGGAUUGUGAAUGGUUUUACUUUUCUUCCUUUUAUUGAUUUCAACUAAAUUGCUUACAGUGGUUGAUGAUAGGUUGCUUUUAUAAUAAAAAAAAUAAAUAAAACUUAUUAAAAAUAGAUAAGGAUCAUGAAGAGAGAGAUUACAAAAGGAGACUACAACAUGUUCAGUGAACUUGGGAAAUUUGUUCAGCUCACUAUUAAUAAUUAGCAUUUAUUUAUACUUAACUAUGUGCUAAACACUUGCUAAAGACAUUAUAUUCCUUCUCAUUUACUCAUCACAUUAGCCCUAUGACGAAGAGGUGGUAUUUAUUUUUACAAAUGAGAAACCUGUGGCUCAGAAAAAUUAAAUAAGGCUCAAGGUAGCAUAGCCCUUAAGUGGCCAAGCUAAGAUUUAAACUCAAAUCUGCUUCUGAGCCUAUACAUUAUUUUUUAUUGUUCCUAUAUAUAUUUUAAAAAUGUACCAAAGCCUUAAAUACAUUCAUAUUAAUUGACAACCAUAAUUCCACUUGAAGGAAUCUAUCAUUAGGAAAUAAUCAGGUUCACAUAAAGAUAUACGUAUAGGUUGUUUAUCUUAGGAUUAUCUAAGAUAGUUUAAAAAAAAAAAAACUUACACAACUACCAUAGCCUCCACCA
Loxodonta africana (African savanna elephant) is the source of this 1542-nucleotide long non-coding RNA. RefSeq lists it as uncharacterized. The transcript is spliced from 2 exons. NCBI's taxonomy places the organism in Eukaryota, Metazoa, Chordata, Mammalia, Proboscidea, Elephantidae. The record is from RefSeq and is a predicted model, not a curated record.